Non-coding RNA from Sodiomyces alkalinus F11, 87 nucleotides. NCBI's taxonomy places the organism in Eukaryota, Fungi, Ascomycota, Sordariomycetes, Glomerellales, Plectosphaerellaceae. The record is from the annotation of a RefSeq genome assembly.
UCCGAAUUGGUGUAGUGGUUAACAUUUGUCGUUUUCAAUCUCCAAUAUAGAACCGACAGGCCCGGGGUUCAAUUCCCCGAUUCGGAA